Molecule: unclassified non-coding RNA, 317 nt
Filed under: uncultured Chlorophyta
Lineage: Eukaryota; Viridiplantae; Chlorophyta
Description: sequence contains 5.8S rRNA gene, ITS2, 28S rRNA gene
Source: RNAcentral
AACGCAAAUUGCGCCUGAGGCUUCGGCCAAAGGCAUGUCUGCCUCAGCGUCGGCUCACUCUCUCACCCUCCCUAUUGGUUGGGUGGAUUUGACCUUUCCGUUUGCGCCCUUGGCACGAUCGGAUCGGUUGAAGCAAAGUGGUUUGAACAUGGACCCCGUUGUAGGGCAAUGGCUUGGUAGGUAGGCUUUCCUACACAACCUGCCGUUGUCCGAGGGGUGCUUGUUGGGGGCCUAGCAGGAACAUCGAGACGGCAUCCGCCUUCUCGAGAACCAAACCUUUCGACCUGAGCUCAGGCAAGAUUACCCGCUGAACUUAA